Molecule: small nuclear RNA, 106 nt
Organism: Cavia porcellus (domestic guinea pig)
Lineage: Eukaryota; Metazoa; Chordata; Mammalia; Rodentia; Caviidae
Source: Ensembl
GUGCUCACUUCAACACACGUAUACUAAAUUUGGAAUGAUACAGAGAACAUUAGCAUGGCCCCUGCAUGAGGGUGACAUGCAAAUUUGUGAAGCAUAUGUAUUUUUG